RNAcentral lists this long non-coding RNA (1789 nucleotides) under Ursus maritimus (polar bear). RNAcentral's name for it is "lncRNA (ENSUMAG00000005659.1)". The record is from RNAcentral. Lineage: Eukaryota; Metazoa; Chordata; Mammalia; Carnivora; Ursidae.
GGAAAAGAGAAGCAGCAUUUACUUAAGAGAGACCAAGUUACCCCCAAAGACACUGUUUGAACCAAACUAAUCCUAUCUAUUAUUUACUGGCAAGUCUAAAUCUCCCCUUCGUGCACCCAGCAGGGCAGGGGCAUAUGAGAAAGAUUAGAUUUUAGAAAACAGAAGCUCCAUUGUCUUUGCAUUGUCUGACUUACAGGGUGAGUAAACAUGCAUCCCUGCUUUAAUUUUUCUUGUGCUUUAGACUAUAGGGCAGGCAUAUAAAGUGUCCAGUUACAGUUAGCCCUUCACUCAAGUCAGAUAUACCCUCACCACUAGCAGUACAGCAGGAAAUGGGAGCCUUCGUGACAGGAGCAGCAGCAAUCCAAGGCAGACCAGUGUGCAGUGGUCAAUGGGCAGGACCCACAGUAGAGCAAGAAGGAGACCAGCAGCAGACAUCAUGGGACUGUGGUUGGAUGAACACUGCAGGGGGCUUGCAACAAAAUGAUUUCUCAGUUAGGACCUCCUGGUUGCUACUGACAGAAAACCCAUGCUACAUUAGGUUGCUAGCAUUUGAUAACCAAAAUAAAAAUUUGUUUCUUUCUGACAUAAAAGUCUGAGUGUAAGCGGUCCUAUGCUGAUAGUUCAAUGCCAUAGUGUCGAGAUCCCAGGCCCUUCCCAUCUUGUGUCUACCAUCCUCAGCAUGCAGCUCUUGGUUCCCAUCACCACAUUCCUGCAGCAUGAAGAGGAAAAGUAGAGGGCACACACCUUACUGCUGAGGUCAUGAACUAAAAGUUGCAUGUAUAACUUCCUCUUCCAUCCUAAUUCCCAAAAGUUAGUCACAUGGCCACACUUAGGGUCUCAGUUAGUUGUGGCCACAAAAAUGCUGUGUAACACCCACAAAAUAUCAGUGGCAGCCAACAGUAAGCAUUAAUUUCUCGUUCACGUGUCUACAGAUGCACUGGUGUUUGGCUAGUCUAUGUUGGAUUCAGCUGGACAUGGCUCACCACAGCUUGGUUUCAGAUCUCAUCCUCUGGGAUGUACCUCUCCUCCUCUUGCCCUCAGCACGCUCCCCAGGCCACGUGCUCUUCACGGUAAUGACUUCCAUGGUUAUAGCAACAUACAUAUGCCUUGGCCCCAUAUACAGGCAGGCUCUCCCAUCAUGCCCCCAAAUGGCUCCAGAGUGCACGGCCUUUUUCAUUCAAACACAGUGGAAUCUAUCAAAGGAUUCAUUGGGUCUCAUUGACUCUUGUUGGCUCACAUGAACUACCUGAAUGAACCAUAGCGCUCAGCACCAAGAAGUGCUGGUUGGCUUAGAUCUCUUAGAGCUAGGACUGAGUGAAAUCAUGGUGUGGAACUUUGACGACUAGAAGAAACGUUGAUGUCGAACAGCCAAAACUCUGUGCACCCUGUAUCUCUCUCCUCUAAUAUAUGAGGCAGAACUGUUCAAUUUUUUGUACCUAUGGAUUAUCCGGGGAUCCUUUUAGAGAAUCUGAUGAAUUAGGUCUGGAGCGGGGCCUAAGAUUCCUUAUUUUUAACAGGUGAUGUUGAUGCUGCUGGUCCAAGGACCACACUUUGAGUAGCAAGGUUUUAUGGCUACAUAGUCCUGUAUGAUAGCCACCAGCCACAUGUGUGCCUAUUGAGCAUUUGAAGUGUGGCUAGUCUAACUUGAGAUGUGCUGUAAGUGUACAUAUGCACUGGGUUUUGAAGACUGAAAACUAGUUAAAAUCUCAUCAAGAGUUUUCAUAUAGAUUACAUGUUAAAAUGAUAUUUUACAUAUAUUGGGUUAAAUAAAAUAUAUUUUAAAGUUAAU